UAGGUAGUAAUAGUUAUGUUCUUGAAACUUAAAAAAUUUGGCGGUAUUUUAGUCUAUUCAGAGGAACCUGUUCUGUAAUUGAUAAUCCACGUUGGACCUUACUUAAAUUUGUUUAGCAAUUUAUAUACCGUUGUUAUUUAAAUAUUUUUAAGAAUAAUAAUGUUUAAUAAUUUAGAUGAAAAUUUAUAUCAAAUCAAGGUGUAGUUUAUGUUUAAGUAGAAAUGGGUUACAAUAAAAUUAUUUAUGGAUAUAAAUAUGAAAAAUUUAUUGAAAUUGGAUUUGAUUGUAAAAUUAUAGAGAUUAAUAAUUUGAUUUUAGCUCUAAAAUAUGU
Molecule: ribosomal RNA, 331 nt
Filed under: Santhomyza inermis
Lineage: Eukaryota; Metazoa; Arthropoda; Insecta; Diptera; Anthomyzidae
Description: partial 12S ribosomal RNA
Source: RNAcentral